This 232-nucleotide long non-coding RNA is filed under the name Gossypium raimondii (Peruvian cotton). RNAcentral describes it as "long non-coding RNA (GRAI_LNC001782)". The record is from RNAcentral. Lineage: Eukaryota; Viridiplantae; Streptophyta; Magnoliopsida; Malvales; Malvaceae.
UGGGGGUUUUUUUUUUUACUUUUUUUCUUUUUAAUUAACUACUAUUAUUAUUUAUUUAGCUUUCUUUUUCUUUUCCAGCUUCAUUGAUAGAUUCUAGUAAGCUAUGGAUUCCCUAUAAAUAUUCUAUCCAAUUUGUAUAUAUAUUGAAAGUGUUGUGGCUGUUAAUUGUAGUUAUUCCAGUUGUAACUCGAGAAAGAAUUAGUAUGUUUACGUAGUUGGGUUUAAAUUUCAA